AAGCGUGGCGGGUGCCUAUACAUGCAGUCGAGCGAAUGGAUUAAGAGCUUGCUCUUAUGAAGUUAGCGGCGGACGGGUGAGUAACACGUGGGUAACCUGCCCAUAAGACUGGGAUAACUCCGGGAAACCGGGGCUAAUACCGGAUAACAUUUUGAACCGCAUGGUUCGAAAUUGAAAGGCGGCUUCGGCUGUCACUUAUGGAUGGACCCGCGUCGCAUUAGCUAGUUGGUGAGGUAACGGCUCACCAAGGCAACGAUGCGUAGCCGACCUGAGAGGGUGAUCGGCCACACUGGGACUGAGACACGGCCCAGACUCCUACGGGAGGCAGCAGUAGGGAAUCUUCCGCAAUGGACGAAAGUCUGACGGAGCAACGCCGCGUGAGUGAUGAAGGCUUUCGGGUCGUAAAACUCUGUUGUUAGGGAAGAACAAGUGCUAGUUGAAUAAGCUGGCACCUUGACGGUACCUAACCAGAAAGCCACGGCUAACUACGUGCCAGCAGCCGCGGUAAUACGUAGGUGGCAAGCGUUAUCCGGAAUUAUUGGGCGUAAAGCGCGCGCAGGUGGUUUCUUAAGUCUGAUGUGAAAGCCCACGGCUCAACCGUGGAGGGUCAUUGGAAACUGGGAGACUUGAGUGCAGAAGAGGAAAGUGGAAUUCCAUGUGUAGCGGUGAAAUGCGUAGAGAUAUGGAGGAACACCAGUGGCGAAGGCGACUUUCUGGUCUGUAACUGACACUGAGGCGCGAAAGCGUGGGGAGCAACAGGAUUAGAUACCCUGGUAGUCCACGCCGUAAACGAUGAGUGC
RNAcentral lists this ribosomal RNA (800 nucleotides) under Bacillus cereus. RNAcentral's name for it is "bacterial SSU rRNA". It matches the Rfam family "Bacterial small subunit ribosomal RNA", at positions 31 to 816 of the family's 1533-position model. Lineage: Bacteria; Bacillati; Bacillota; Bacilli; Caryophanales; Bacillaceae. The record is from RNAcentral.